Molecule: ribosomal RNA, 270 nt
Filed under: uncultured archaeon
Lineage: Archaea
Description: partial 16S ribosomal RNA
Rfam family: Archaeal small subunit ribosomal RNA
Source: RNAcentral
CAGCACCUCAAGUGGUCAGGAUGAUUAUUGGGCCUAAAGCAUCCGUAGCCGGCGCUGUAAGUUUUCGGUUAAAUCCAUACGCUCAACGUAUGGGCUGCCGGGAAUACUGCAAAGCUAGGGAGUGGGAGAGGUAGACGGUACUCGGUAGGAAGGGGUAAAAUCCUUUGAUCUAUUGAUGACCACCUGUGGCGAAGGCGGUCUACCAGAACACGUCCGACGGUGAGGGAUGAAAGCUGGGGGAGCAAACCGGAUUAGAUACCCGAGUAGUCC